AACGCCGGCGGCGCGCCUAAUACAUGCAAGUCGAACGAGAAUGUGUAGCAAUACACAUGUACAGUGGCGAACGGGUGAGGACUACAUGGGUAACCUACCCUCGAGUGGGGAAUAACUAGCCGAAAGGUUAGCUAAUACCGCGUACGCUUCCCGGACUGCGGUUCGGGAAGGAAAGCGAUACCGUGGGUAUCGCGCUCUUGGAUGGGCUCAUGCCCUAUCAGCUUGUUGGUGAGGUAACGGCUCACCAAGGCUUCGACGGGUAGCUGAUCUGAGAGGAUGAUCAGCCACACUGGCACUGCGACACGGGCCAGACUCCUACGGGAGGCAGCAGUAAGGAAUAUUGCGCAAUGGGCGAAAGCCUGACGCAGCGACGCCGCGUGGGGGAUGAAGGUCUUCGGAUUGUAAACCCCUUUCGGGAGGGAAGAUGGGAUGGGGUAACCCAUUCGGACGGUACCUCCAGAAGCAGCCACGGCUAACUUCGUGCCAGCAGCCGCGGUAAUACGAAGGUGGCAAGCGUUGUUCGGAUUUACUGGGCGUACAGGGAGCGUAGGCGGUUGGGUAAGCCCUCCGUGAAAUCUCCAGGCUUAACCUGGAAAGUGCAGAGGGGACUGCUCAGCUAGAGGAUGGGAGAGGAGCGCGGAAUUCCCGGUGUAGCGGUGAAAUGCGUAGAGAUCGGGAGGAAGGCCGGUGGCGAAGGCGGCGCUCUGGAACAUUUCUGACGCUGAGGCUCGAAAGCGUGGGGAGCAAACAGGAUUAGAUACCCUGGUAGUCCACGCCUUAAACGAUGGAUACUAAGUGUCGGCGGGUUACCGCCGGUGCCGCAGCUAACGCAGUAAGUAUCCCGCCUGGGAAGUACGGCC
Molecule: ribosomal RNA, 860 nt
Filed under: uncultured bacterium
Lineage: Bacteria
Description: bacterial SSU rRNA
Rfam family: Bacterial small subunit ribosomal RNA
Source: RNAcentral